GACGAACGCUGGCGGCGUGCCUAAUACAUGCAAGUCGAACGAACCGCGACUGAGUGCUUGCACUUGGUCAAGGUGAGUGGCGAACGGGUGAGUAACACGUGGGUAACCUACCUCAUAGUGGGGGAUAACAGUCGGAAACGACUGCUAAUACCGCAUAGGACAUAGGAUCACAUGAUCCAGUGAGGAAAGGUGGCGCAAGCUAUCGCUAAGAGAUGGACCCGCGGUGCAUUAGCUAGUUGGUAGGGUAAAGGCCUACCAAGGCGAUGAUGCAUAGCCGACCUGAGAGGGUGAUCGGCCACAUUGGGACUGAGGCACGGCCCAAACUCCUACGGGAGGCAGCAGUAGGGAAUCUUCCGCAAUGGACGCAAGUCUGACGGAGCAACGCCGCGUGAGUGAAGAAGGUCUUCGGAUCGUAAAGCUCUGUUGUUAGAGAAGAACAGCGCAUAGAGUAACUGCUAUGCGUGUGACGGUAUCUAACCAGAAAGCCACGGCUAACUACGUG
Molecule: ribosomal RNA, 502 nt
Filed under: uncultured bacterium
Lineage: Bacteria
Description: partial 16S ribosomal RNA
Rfam family: Bacterial small subunit ribosomal RNA
Source: RNAcentral